GCAUAUCAAUAAGCGGAGGAAAAGAAACCAACCGGGAUUGCCUCAGUAACGGCGAGUGAAGCGGCAAGAGCUCAAAUUUGAAAUCUGGCCCCUUUGGGGUCCGAGUUGUAAUUUGCAGAGGAUGCUUCGGGUGCGGUCCCCAUCUAAGUGCCCUGGAACGGGCCGUCAUAGAGGGUGAGAAUCCCGUCUGGGAUGGGCGGCCGCGCCCGUGUGAAGCUCCUUCGACGAGUCGAGUUGUUUGGGAAUGCAGCUCUAAGCGGGUGGUAAAUUUCAUCUAAAGCUAAAUACUGGCCGGAGACCGAUAGCGCACAAGUAGAGUGAUCGAAAGAUGAAAAGCACUUUGAAAAGAGAGUUAAACAGCACGUGAAAUUGUUGAAAGGGAAGCGUUGUCCACCAGACUCGCCCGGGGGGGUUCAGCCGGCACGUGUGCCGGUGUACUCCUCUCCGGGCGGGCCAGCAUCGGUUUGGGCGGCUGGUGAAAGGCCCCGGGAAUGUAACACCCUUCGGGGUGCCUUAUAGCCCGGGGUGCCAUACAGCCAGCCUGGACCGAGGCCCGCGCUUCGGCGAGGAUGCUGGCGUAAUGGUGGUCAACGGCCCGUCUUGAAACACGGACCAAGGAGUCUAACAUCUAUGCGAGUGUUCGGGUGUCAAACCCGUCCGCGCAGUGAAAGCGAACGGAGGUGGGAGCCCUCUCGGGGCGCACCAUCGACCGAUCCUGAUGUCUUCGGAUGGAUUUGAGUAAGAGCAUAGCUGUUGGGACCCGAAAGAUGGUGAACUAUGCCUGAAUAGGGCGAAGCCAGAGGAAACUCUGGUGGAGGCUCGCAGCGGUUCUGACGUGCAAAUCGAUCGUCAAAUUUGGGUAUAGGGGCGAAAGACUAAUCGAACCAUCUGGUAGCUGGUUCCUGCCGA
Molecule: ribosomal RNA, 909 nt
Filed under: Talaromyces aculeatus
Lineage: Eukaryota; Fungi; Ascomycota; Eurotiomycetes; Eurotiales; Trichocomaceae
Description: LSU rRNA
Rfam family: Eukaryotic large subunit ribosomal RNA
Source: RNAcentral